Long non-coding RNA from Nannospalax galili (Upper Galilee mountains blind mole rat), 2142 nucleotides. RefSeq lists it as uncharacterized. Lineage: Eukaryota; Metazoa; Chordata; Mammalia; Rodentia; Spalacidae. The transcript is spliced from 6 exons. The record is from RefSeq and is a predicted model, not a curated record.
ACUGAAACCCCUUAUUGACCCUAGACUCAGCAGGUUGCUUGGUGACUGAAGAAAAGCAAAUAGGAUGUCUCCUAAUUUAAAGGAAAACUAAUGAAAAACGAGGUGUGCAGGCACUUAACACGUCUGCAGAGUGUUUUAAGUGUUUCUAGAAGCCUUGACACUUACGAGCAGUAAGAAUAAUUAGGAUAUUUGGGGUUUCAGAUCAGCAGAAAGCAACUCAUAAGGAAUGUGCGGCGAGGAGCAAGUAGCAGAAGGAACUAGAAAGGGUGAAGAGCUUCGAGCCGAUUAGAAUUUAAAGUACUAGGUUUCAGAAUUCCAAAUGAUCCUUUAAGAAACUGUGGUGUCUCUUUAAGAGCCAUUUGGUGCAUUUCAUAGCCUGAUUCAUGUCACCAGCUGCCUCUGAUUUCAGUGAGAAAUGUAGACUUUAUAGGGAACUGUAAAAUGGGGACAGGUUUUUAGUUUUCUAAAUUGAGGUUUAACUGGCAAACUUCUGAAGGCUUAAGAAACCAUGAGCUGGGCUAUGGAAAGCUGGUUUCUUUUCUGGUUAGAACACAAACACACAAACACUAUCUAACUCUCAAAGUGCUUAAAGAAAGAAAGCAUUGCCCCUUGCUGAGUAGGAAAAUGAAGAACCAGCCUUGUGGGCAAGAGGAGGAGGGUCACAUUGGCCAGUAGGCAGCACCCGGCGCUGGCAGAGGAGAAAUCUGAGCGAGCAGGCUUUCCACAAACUCUUGGGUUUCGAGUUGCAGGUCUCCGGAGUCCGGAGAAGGCGCUCCAGCGACAGGGCUCCCCUUUGCAGGGCCCCAGGGUGGAAUGGCAUCCCCCAUCCCUAGCCACCCACGGGACAAGCAGUUGCAAAAUGAAGGUGGCUCUGGGGCAUGAGAUUGGGACCGUGGAAGUGCUUUACAGCUGUACAGAGGGCUGCCUGCUGCUUGAACCAAGGUGACAGAAACUCUCCACAGUUAGAUACUGCUGAUUUCUUCGCUGAUGUCAGAACCAGUGUCUCCAGGCUCCCAUCACUGCUUUAAGGACCAGUAACUUCCAGGGUCACUCCAGGUUUGGGGCUUCAGUUUGGGACUACUGAGCUCUCAGCCUUGUGGACUGAACAACUAGCAAGUUGUUGGCCUUUCCAGUGUAAGACAGCCACUGUGGGACCACUCCAACUGCUGAGGCACCCACCCAGCCUCAAGGACCAAGUGACUACGGGGCGCUCAGCUUCUCAGGUGUGAGACAACUGUUGUUACUGUUUCAAUGUAAUGACAUGGAUGAUACAGAAGUUGACUAAUGUACUGAAACGACAUGCCUAAAGACACUUCUCAUUCCUGAAUGAACCACUGCAAGAUUAAAACAGGCAAGUCUCAAAGGUCUUACACACUUAGUCCUCAGCCCCUCGCCCAACCUCUGAGUGUGAUUUGUAGUGCUGGCGCUACAAGUGGAGGUCCCACCGAGAUCGGGAAAGAAGGGACAGUGCUGAAGGACCACCGGGAGCCGGCUGGCAGUGAGAAAACGUGCCACCUGUGAAGCUGUUGGGGUCCCGCGAGCUCGGCUAUCCUGGUACGGGUCCCGGGCAUCAUCCCGAUGCCAGUCAAUGUGCUGGGCAGCUACCCGGUUCGCCUCAUAAGGGAGAAGAGGGAUUUUGGAAUCACCACAGCAAUCAUCACAACAGUCACUGUGUCUGCCGCAGCCGCCACUGCAGCUGGACUAGCUCUUGCUCUAAUGGCUGUCAUGGCUGAGACUGUGGACAAACUAUCGGGACAGGUGGCACAGGCCCUUGAUACUCAGGGCAAGAUAAAUUCUUUACGGCAGCUGGGCAUCCUAAAAUUAAAUCAACCGCUCUGUUACAGGAACAAGUUGAUGCAUUGUGGGAUAUGCAUAUGUUAGCCUGCUCUCCUACCUUUACCCAUAUCUGUGUCACUUCUGCUAAGGUACGUAAUGCCUCAGUAGCUGUGAAGGAGCUCAAUGAGUUCUUGCAAGGACCAUGAUAUUAACAAUUUCUAAAUUAUACUCGUCAGCUGACGCAACAAAUCAUAUCUAUAAAUGAAACAAGAGUUCCUCCCGUGUCCAGGGAGGCUUUUGUAAAGGGUCUCCAUGUAGUUGGAAAACUGUUUAAGGAAUGGAGUGGAUCCAUUGCCCUAGGCCUCC